UUAAGCGACUAAGCGUACACGGUGGAUGCCCUGGCAGUCAGAGGCGAUGAAGGACGUGCUAAUCUGCGAAAAGCGACGGCGAGGUGAUAUGAACCUUUGACCCGUCGAUGUCCGAAUGGGGAAACCCAGUGCAAUCCGUUGCACUAUCGUUAACUGAAUACAUAGGUUAACGAGGCGAACCGGGGGAACUGAAACAUCUAAGUACCCCGAGGAAAAGAAAUCAACCGAGAUUCCCCCAGUAGCGGCGAGCGAACGGGGAGCAGCCCGGAGUCUGAAUCAGCUUGUGUGUUAGUGGAAGCGUCUGGAAAGUCGCACGGUACAGGGUGACAGUCCCGUACACGAAAAUGCACAGGUUGUGAACUCGAAGAGUAGGGCGGGACACGUGGUAUCCUGUCUGAAUAUGGGGGGACCAUCCUCCAAGGCUAAAUACUCCUGACUGACCGAUAGUGAACCAGUACCGUGAGGGAAAGGCGAAAAGAACCCCGGCGAGGGGAGUGAAAAAGAACCUGAAACCGUGUACGUACAAGCAGUGGGAGCACCUUCGGGUGUGACUGCGUACCUUUUGUAUAAUGGGUCAGCGACUUAUAUUCUGUAGCAAGGUUAACCGUAUAGGGGAGCCGCAGGGAAACCGAGUCUUAACUGGGCGUUAAGUUGCAGGGUAUAGACCCGAAACCCGGUGAUCUAGCCAUGGGCAGGUUGAAGGUUGGGUAACACUAACUGGAGGACCGAACCGACUAAUGUUGAAAAAUUAGCGGAUGACCUGUGGCUGGGGGUGAAAGGCCAAUCAAACCGGGAGAUAGCUGGUUCUCCCCGAAAGCUAUUUAGGUAGCGCCUCGUGAAUUCAUCUUCGGGGGUAGAGCACUGUUUCGGCUAGGGGGCCAUCCCGGCUUACCAACCCGAUGCAAACUACGAAUACCGAAGAAUGUUAUCACGGGAGACACACGGCGGGUGCUAACGUCCGUCGUGAAGAGGGAAACAACCCAGACCGCCAGCUAAGGUCCCAAAGUCAUGGUUAAGUGGGAAACGAUGUGGGAAGGCACAGACAGCCAGGAUGUUGGCUUAGAAGCAGCCAUCAUUUAAAGAAAGCGUAAUAGCUCACUGGUCGAGUCGGCCUGCGCGGAAGAUGUAACGGGGCUAAACCAUGCACCGAAGCUGCGGCAGCGACGCUUAUGCGUUGUUGGGUAGGGGAGCGUUCUGUAAGCCGUUGAAGGUGGCCUGUGAGGGUUGCUGGAGGUAUCAGAAGUGCGAAUGCUGACAUAAGUAACGAUAAAGCGGGUGAAAAGCCCGCUCGCCGGAAGACCAAGGGUUCCUGUCCAACGUUAAUCGGGGCAGGGUGAGUCGACCCCUAAGGCGAGGCCGAAAGGCGUAGUCGAUGGGAAACAGGUUAAUAUUCCUGUACUUGGUGUUACUGCGAAGGGGGGACGGAGAAGGCUAUGUCAGCCGGGCGACGGUUGUCCCGGUUUAAGCGUGUAGGUGUGUGUUCCAGGCAAAUCCGGUUCACUUUAACACUGAGGCGUGAUGACGAGGCACUACGGUGCUGAAGUGAUAAAUGCCCUGCUUCCAGGAAAAGCCUCUAAGCAUCAGGUAACACGAAAUCGUACCCCAAACCGACACAGGUGGUCAGGUAGAGAAUACCAAGGCGCUUGAGAGAACUCGGGUGAAGGAACUAGGCAAAAUGGUGCCGUAACUUCGGGAGAAGGCACGCUGAUAUGUAGGUGAAGUCCCUGCGGACGGAGCUGAAAUCAGUCGAAGAUACCAGCUGGCUGCAACUGUUUAUUAAAAACACAGCACUGUGCAAACACGAAAGUGGACGUAUACGGUGUGACGCCUGCCCGGUGCCGGAAGGUUAAUUGAUGGGGUUAGCGGCAACGCGAAGCUCUUGAUCGAAGCCCCGGUAAACGGCGGCCGUAACUAUAACGGUCCUAAGGUAGCGAAAUUCCUUGUCGGGUAAGUUCCGACCUGCACGAAUGGCGUAAUGAUGGCCAGGCUGUCUCCACCCGAGACUCAGUGAAAUUGAACUCGCUGUGAAGAUGCAGUGUACCCGCGGCAAGACGGAAAGACCCCGUGAACCUUUACUAUAGCUUGACACUGAACACUGGUCCUUGAUGUGUAGGAUAGGUGGGAGGCUUUGAAGCGUGGACGCCAGUCUGCGUGGAGCCGUCCUUGAAAUACCACCCUUUAAUGGCUGGUGUUCUAACGUGGACCCGUGAUCCGGGUUGCGGACAGUGUCUGGUGGGUAGUUUGACUGGGGCGGUCUCCUCCCAAAGAGUAACGGAGGAGCACGAAGGUUAGCUAAUCCUGGUCGGACAUCAGGAGGUUAGUGCAAUGGCAUAAGCUAGCUUGACUGCGAGAGUGACGGCUCGAGCAGGUGCGAAAGCAGGUCAUAGUGAUCCGGUGGUUCUGAAUGGAAGGGCCAUCGCUCAACGGAUAAAAGGUACUCCGGGGAUAACAGGCUGAUACCGCCCAAGAGUUCAUAUCGACGGCGGUGUUUGGCACCUCGAUGUCGGCUCAUCACAUCCUGGGGCUGAAGUAGGUCCCAAGGGUAUGGCUGUUCGCCAUUUAAAGUGGUACGCGAGCUGGGUUUAGAACGUCGUGAGACAGUUCGGUCCCUAUCUGCCGUGGGCGCUGGAGAAUUGAGGGGGGCUGCUCCUAGUACGAGAGGACCGGAGUGGACGCAUCACUGGUGUUCGGGUUGUCAUGCCAAUGGCACUGCCCGGUAGCUAAAUGCGGAAGAGAUAAGUGCUGAAAGCAUCUAAGCACGAAACUUGCCCCGAGAUGAGUUCUCCCUGAGACUAUAAGUCUCCUGAAGGAACGUUAAAGACUAUGACGUUGAUAGGCCGGGUGUGUAAGCGCAGCGAUGCGUUGAGCUAACCGGUACUAAUGAACCGUGAGGCUUAACCU
Molecule: ribosomal RNA, 2901 nt
Filed under: Enterobacter bugandensis
Lineage: Bacteria; Pseudomonadati; Pseudomonadota; Gammaproteobacteria; Enterobacterales; Enterobacteriaceae
Description: 23S ribosomal RNA
Rfam family: Bacterial large subunit ribosomal RNA
Source: RNAcentral